ACCUGUGGCUAGGGGUGAAAGGCCAAUCAAGGCCGGCAAUAGCUGGUUCUCCGCGAAAUCUAUUGAGGUAGAGCGUCAUGUGGACGCCGCCGGGGGUAGAGCACUGGAUGGGCUAGGGGGGCGCGAGCCUUACCAAACCUAACCAAACUCCGAAUACCGGUGAGCGAUGCAUGGCAGGCAGCCCCUGGGUGCUAAGAUCCAGGGACGAGAGGGGAAGAUCCCAGACCGCCAGCUAAGGUCCCCAAGUCGUGGCUAAGUGGGAAAGGAUGUGAGACGACCCAGACAACCAGGAGGUUGGCUUAGAAGCAGCCAUCCUUUAAAGAAAGCGUAAUAGCUCACUGGUCGAGUUGUCUUGCGCCGAAAAUGUAACGGGGCUCAAGCCACGCACCGAAGCUGCGGGUGGCGGUUCGUCUCGGCGAACCGUCGCGGUAGCGGAGCGUUCCGUAGGCCUGUGAAGGUGAUCCGUCAGGGUCGCUGGAGGUAUCGGAAGCGAGAAUGCUGACAUGAGUAGCGACAAACAGGGCGAGAAACCCUGUCGCCGUAAGUCCAAGGGUUCCUGCGCAAGGUUAAUCCGCGCAGGGUAAGCCGGCCCCUAAGGCGAGGGCGAAAGCCGUAGUCGAUGGGAACCAGGUCAAUAUUCCUGGGCCUCUCGGGAGUUGACGGAGGCGUAAGGUCGUCUGCGGUUAUUGGAUUCCGCGGGCGGCUGAAGCCUUCCAGGAAAUAGCCCCGAGGUAUAGACCGUACCCGAAACCGACACAGGUGGACUGGUAGAAGAUACCAAGGCGCUUGAGAGAACGGUGUUGAAGGAACUAGGCAAAUUGCCCGCGUAACUUCGGAAGAAGCGGGACCCUUUCCUGGGCAACCAGGGAAGGGUGGCACAGAAAUGGGGGUGGCGACUGUUUACUAAAAACACAGGACUCUGCGAAGGCGCGAGCCGACGUAUAGGGUCUGACGCCUGCCCGGUGCCGGAAGGUUAAGAGGAGAGCUGCAAGGCUUGAAUCGAAGCCCCGGUAAACGGCGGCCGUAACUAUAACGGUCCUAAGGUAGCGAAAUUCCUUGUCGGGUAAGUUCCGACCUGCACGAAUGGCGUAACGACUUCCCCACUGUCUCCAACACCGACUCAGCGAAAUUGAAUUCUCCGUGAAGAUGCGGAGUACCCGCGGUCAGACGGAAAGACCCUAUGAACCUUUACUACAGCUUUGCAGUGGCAUUAGGGGAUGGAUGUGUAGCAUAGGCGGGAGCCUUUGAAGUUCGGGCGUCAGCUCGGAUGGAGGCACCAGUGAAAUACCGCUCUUUUGUUCUCUGAUGUCUAACCUGGUCCUGUGAACCCAGGACGGGGACCCUGCAUGGUGGGUAGUUUGACUGGGGCGGUCGCCUCCCAAAACGUAACGGAGGCGCGCGAUGGUAGGCUCAGGCUGGUCGGAAAUCAGCCCUGGCGUGCAAUGGCAUAAGCCUGCCUGACUGCGAGACCGACAGGUCGAGCAGAAACGAAAGUUGGCCAUAGUGAUCCGGUGGUCCCGUGUGGAAGGGCCAUCGCUCAACGGAUAAAAGGUACUCUAGGGAUAACAGGCUGAUGACGCCCAAGAGUCCAUAUCGACGGCGUCGUUUGGCACCUCGAUGUCGGCUCAUCACAUCCUGGGGCUGGAGCAGGUCCCAAGGGUUCGGCUGUUCGCCGAUUAAAGUGGUACGUGAGCUGGGUUUAGAACGUCGUGAGACAGUUCGGUCCCUAUCUGCCGUGGGUGUUUGGAGACUUGCGAGGAUCUGUCCCUAGUACGAGAGGACCGGGAUGGACGCACCUCUGGUGUACCGGUUGUCGCGCCAGCGGCAUCGCCGGGUAGCUAUGUGCGGACGGGAUAACCGCUGAAUGCAUCUAAGCGGGAAACCCACCUUCAAACGAGGUCUCCCUGAAGAGCCGUGGUAGACCACCACGUCGAUAGGUCGGAUGUGAAAGCGCGGCAACGCGUUCAGCUUACCGAUCCUAAUAGCUCGAUCGGCUUGAUACU
This 2003-nucleotide ribosomal RNA is filed under the name freshwater bacterium LH6-2. Its description in RNAcentral is "bacterial LSU rRNA". It matches the Rfam family "Bacterial large subunit ribosomal RNA", at positions 807 to 2925 of the family's 2925-position model. The record is from RNAcentral.